RNAcentral lists this microRNA precursor (60 nucleotides) under Eptatretus burgeri (inshore hagfish). RNAcentral describes it as "Ebu-Mir-126-o1_pre stem-loop". Lineage: Eukaryota; Metazoa; Chordata; Myxini; Myxiniformes; Myxinidae. The record is from RNAcentral.
CGUUAUUACCCCUGGUACUGGCUGAACUUUGACCCCAGUCGUACCGUCAGUAAUAACGGA